Molecule: ribosomal RNA, 465 nt
Filed under: uncultured bacterium
Lineage: Bacteria
Description: partial 16S ribosomal RNA
Rfam family: Bacterial small subunit ribosomal RNA
Source: RNAcentral
CCUACGGGCGGCAGCAGUGGGGAAUAUUGCGCAAUGGGCGAAAGCCUGACGCAGCGACGCCGCGUGAGGGAUGAAGGUCUUCGGAUCGUAAACCUCUGUCAGCAGGGAAGAACGGUCACUGUGCUAACCAGCAGCGAAUUGACGGUACCUGCAAAGGAAGCAACGGCUAACUCCGUGCCAGCAGCCGCGGUAAUACGGAGGGUGCGAGCGUUAAGCGGAUUUACUGGGCGUAAAGCGCUCGUAGGCGGUAUGUCAAGUCAAGGGUGAAAUCCCCGCGCUCAACGUGGGAAGUGCAUUUGAAACGGGCGAACUGGAGGGUGGGAGAGGAUAGUGGAAUUCCAGGUGUAGGGGUGAAAUCCGUAGAUAUCUGGAGGAACAUCAGUGGCGAAGGCGACUAUCUGGCCUAUAACUGACGCUGAGGAGCGAAAGCGUGGGUAGCAAACAGGAUUAGAUACCCUUGUAGUC